Molecule: long non-coding RNA, 418 nt
Organism: Lytechinus variegatus (green sea urchin)
Lineage: Eukaryota; Metazoa; Echinodermata; Echinoidea; Temnopleuroida; Toxopneustidae
Exons: 3
Source: RefSeq, a predicted model, not a curated record
AUAUUAAACUAAUGACAUUCCAUAAGAAUAAAAAUCCAAUAGGACCAAGAUCUUAGCAGUUCACACCAAGUCAUAGGGACAAAAUUGAGAACCAUGCAGAUCAGCAAGUGUAAGUUACACUCUAAUGACCAACAGGAUAUCUGAAUUGGAAAAUUGCAAGAUUUCCCACUGCCCAAGCUGUUUGAGUACCGGUAUCACAACUAGUACCAAGACGGAAGAAAUAUGAAGGCCGAGUUAAUUAACAGUUACUUCAAAUUUAUUUGAAUAGAUAUAUCAACAAAGCAUCGAAUUUUCUUUAAACUGCACAUCUCUAGGAAAAGUGCAGUACAAGUUCAGGUUCAUCAGCGGGCAAUGACAUUAAAGUAUACAAAAUUUUACACAAAAUACAAUUAAGAAAUAUUAUUUUCCAAUGGGCAAA